Macadamia integrifolia is the source of this 1484-nucleotide RNA transcript. RefSeq lists it as uncharacterized. Lineage: Eukaryota; Viridiplantae; Streptophyta; Magnoliopsida; Proteales; Proteaceae. The transcript has 7 exons. The record is from RefSeq and is a predicted model, not a curated record.
GUUGAUGUGAACCAAACAAUUUUUUUUUAAUGAGAAAUACGAUUCUAUAGAAUGUCAUCCGAUGGAAUAAUCGAACCAAACACCCCCUAAACUGGCCGUGCUGCACGAGAAUAUACUGAAGAAAACGGUCAUUGCCCAUUCAAGUAUACGGGAGUGACGAACUCACGGGAGUGCUAACGAGGGAGAGAGGAUGGACGAUUCGGGAGCUAUACUUUGUCAAAUAUCUUCACUCAAGGACAUGCUAGACCAUGUAAAUGAGGAAAUUGAGGCAAACAUUCAGACAACGAGAGAUAUAGAAUCUGAACUUGUAAAAUGUUCUGAGAUCGAGAGCUGUUUUGUGAUGAGAGAAUCGAAUUUGAUGAAGGCGAUAUGCGUUGGUGAAUUUGAUGUGAACAGCUUGAUCCAAGUGAAAGCUGCAGGAGCAACCUCAUUGGAACUCCUGGAGAAGGAAUUAAGUUGUUUAAGAAUGAAGCGGGAGGAGGCAAUUGAAAGAAUGGCUAAAAAACGGGAAGCAUUUGUUAUUCAAUGUAGAAAUUUUCAAAGGGACAUCGUCGAGGGAGAAAAUGAGGAAUUAAAGUCAUUGUUGUUGGAUAAAGAUCUUCUUGAAAUUGAAAAUGAUAAUUUGAAUGCAAAAAAUGAUAUGCUGAGAAAUUCAAUGUCAGCGUUUGUAGAAGAGAUCCUUGGGGAGCUUCAUGGUUCUAAUUCAGGUGCUAUGGAUUUUCCGUACUACCAGGAGGUUCAGGACUUCAUCACUAGUCAUCAUUCUUCUUUCGAUCCCUUGGUGCCAUGAAUUGGAUUGGUAUUGCUGAUACUGAUAUAAUACAGCCGAUACAGUCUAUACGAUAUCAAUACUUGAAACCAUGCUUGGUAUUGAGAACUUAGUUUUCUUUAUCCAAUCUGUGCAAUCAUGGUUAUUGGAUGCUGGUUUUAUGCUGAUGCCUUAAAUGUCGAUAUUCUUUGUGGAAAUUUGGAAAACGAAAAAUUGCUUGAGGAUAUUGAUGAGUUGAAGACUACAUUACUGGCAGCAAGUUUGUGUUGGAAUCACUAGCCACGCAGGAAUCUCCAUCAUUUGUCAGAGUCGAGAGAGGCCAUUGAAGGGAUGGGUGAGGUUUCGCCGGAAAAGAUGGGUGAGCUAUCGCAAGAGCAGAGCUGAGGCUGCAAAUUAAGGUUGGAAGAGACUUUAGUUCUCUUCAUUGAAGGGUAAAUACACCUUCUCACAAGUUUGGAGGGUAGUUUUGUCAUUUAUAAGUUUUGAGCAUAGUGACAUCAGCACUUAACAAUUGCAUACUAACAGACUGGGGCUGGAUGCAAGAAAUUUGAAAAUGUCAGGUAAGAUUUGUAGAUACGCAGAUAGAGGGGGAGGGGGAAUGUAAUUCAAACAAAGUAGAGGGGGGAGGGCCAUGUAAAUUACCCAAAAAAUAUAAACCAUUAAAAAGGGAAACAAUUACCUUUAGUACCUCAUGGUUAAGGGUGUUAAUCGGUUC